This 374-nucleotide ribosomal RNA is filed under the name uncultured eukaryote. RNAcentral's name for it is "partial 18S ribosomal RNA". It matches the Rfam family "Eukaryotic small subunit ribosomal RNA", at positions 592 to 976 of the family's 1831-position model. The record is from RNAcentral.
CAAGAGCGUAUGUAAAAGUUGUUGCAGUUAAAAAGCUCGUAGUUGAACCUUGGGUUUGGUUGGCCGGUCCGCUUUUUUGCGAGUACUGGAUUCAACCGAGCCUUUCCUUCUGGCUAACCAGUCGUUUCGGCGGCUGGCGAGCCAGGAUUUUUACUUUGAGAAAAUUAGAGUGUUCAAAGCAGGCAUUAGCUUGAAUAUAUUAGCAUGGAAUAAUAGAAUAGGACGUUAUGGUUCUAUUUUGUUGGUUUCUAGGACCAUCGUAAUGAUUAAUAGGGACGGUCGGGGGCAUCAGUAUUCAGUUGUCAGAGGUGAAAUUCUUGGAUUUACUGAAGACUAACUACUGCGAAAGCAUUUGCCAAGGACGUUUUCAUUAA